UACGGAGGGUGCAAGCGUUGCUCGGAAUCACUGGGCGUAAAGGGCGCGUAGGCGGCCGUGUAAGUCUUGGGUGAAAUCCCUCAGCUCAACUGAGGAACUGCCUCGGAUACUGCAUGGCUUGAGGCCGGGAGAGGGUAGUGGAAUUCCCAGUGUAGCGGUGAAAUGCGUAGAUAUUGGGAGGAACACCGGUGGCGAAGGCGGCUACCUGGACCGGUUCUGACGCUGAUGCGCGAAAGCGUGGGGAGCAAACAGG
RNAcentral lists this ribosomal RNA (253 nucleotides) under uncultured bacterium. RNAcentral's name for it is "partial 16S ribosomal RNA". It matches the Rfam family "Bacterial small subunit ribosomal RNA", at positions 524 to 776 of the family's 1533-position model. The record is from RNAcentral.